CCCUAUGGGGUGCACCAAGGCGGCUGCAACAAUCAACCCGGUGAUGGUUUCAGCGCAAGUCAAGGCAUAGUCAAACGCCGUUUUUCGUUCCAGGCCGAGACUCUCGGCAUUAUGCCUCAGGAUGGCGUCGAGAGCGUCCUGGGGUAGUCCGAAACCUGCCAGUAUUUCGACUGUCUUGCGGCCAUGCUCCUCGGGAUUGUUGCGGGGGUACUCGAAGUCGAGGUCAUGCAGCAAUCCGGUGAUUCCCCACAAUUCGACAUCCUGGCUCAUCCGAGCGGCUAAACUGCGCAUGAUGGCUUCGGUGGCCAGGCUGUGCUUCUUUAAUGUCUCAGUGUGGAUAUGAUCGUCUAAAAGCUGCAGUGCAUCGUUUCUUGUCAUGGGGUGGGCCAUGGAAGGAAUUGGCGGGAGAGC
Molecule: ribosomal RNA, 411 nt
Filed under: uncultured prokaryote
Description: partial 16S ribosomal RNA
Source: RNAcentral